CCUGAGAAACGGCUACCACAUCCAAGGAAGGCAGCAGGCGCGCAAAUUACCCACUCCCGGCACGGGGAGGUAGUGACGAAAAAUAACGAUACGGGACUCAUCCGAGGCCCCGUAAUCGGAAUGAGUACACUUUAAAUCCUUUAACGAGGAUCAAUUGGAGGGCAAGUCUGGUGCCAGCAGCCGCGGUAAUCCAGCUCCUAUAGCGUAUAUUAAAGUUGUUGCGGUUAAAAAGCUCGUAGUUGAAUCUGUGUCUCGCGCUGUCGGUUCACCGUCCGCAGUGUUAAACUGGAACGUUCGCGAGACGUCCUGGCGGUGGCCACGCGGGGCGUUUCCGUAAGGUUGCGUCUCGCGUCCCGACUUUAAUCCUACUUCGGUGCUCUUUACCGAGUGUCGAGUGGGCCGGCACGUUUACUUUGAACAAAUUAGAGUGCUCCAAGCAGGCUAAAACUUCGCCUGAAUACUGUGUGCAUGGAAUAAUGGAACAGGACCUCGGUUCUAUUUUGUUGGUUUUAGGAACCCCGAGGUAAUGAUUAAUAGGAACAGAUGGGGGCAUUCGUAUUGCGACGUUAGAGGUGAAAUUCUUGGACCGUCGCAAGACGGACUAAAGCGAAAGCAUUUGCCAAAAAUGUUUUCAUUAAUCAAGAACGAAAGUCAGAGGUUCGAAGGCGAUCAGAUACCGCCCUAGUUCUGACCAUAAACGAUGCCAGCUAGCGAUCCGCCGACGUUCCUCCGAUGACUCGGCGGGCAGCUUCCGGGAAACCAAAGCUUUUGGGUUCCGGGGGAAGUAUGGUUGCAAAGCUGAAACUUAAAGGAAUUGACGGAAGGGCACCACCAGGAGUGGAGCCUGCGGUUUAAUUUGACUCAACACGGGAAACCUCACCAGGCCCGGACACCGGAAGGAUUGACAGAUUGAGAGCUCUUUCUUGAUUCGGUGGGUGGUGGUGCAUGGCCGUUCUUAGUUGGUGGAGCGAUUUGUCUGGUUAAUUCCGAUAACGAACGAGACUC
This 1005-nucleotide ribosomal RNA is filed under the name Cybister fimbriolatus. RNAcentral describes it as "SSU rRNA". It matches the Rfam family "Eukaryotic small subunit ribosomal RNA", at positions 395 to 1343 of the family's 1831-position model. Lineage: Eukaryota; Metazoa; Arthropoda; Insecta; Coleoptera; Dytiscidae. The record is from RNAcentral.